Molecule: long non-coding RNA, 844 nt
Organism: Biomphalaria glabrata
Lineage: Eukaryota; Metazoa; Mollusca; Gastropoda; Planorbidae
Exons: 3
Source: RefSeq, a predicted model, not a curated record
UUUAUGCAAUAAUUUCAAAUUUCUUCAUUGACGACUUCACAAAAAAACCAACCUCGCGCUGCUCAUCUAGUUGCCAAAGUUCUUUUGUCUGAUGUCAGAACUAAAGUUUUAGUCUUCAAGAAAAUAAAUGGCUACUUCUUUUUUUAUAGUUCACUUGCGUUGUUAUUGAAUUGUAUUUUCCUUUAUAAGAAAUAGCAGAGGGCUGGAAGCGGAGAUCGCCCUGAGCACCCCAGAGUCUUGACAAGAAAAAAAGUAGGACUUUAGGCUUAUAGCCUACACAACUUUUGCACAGAAGUCCCAUUCGUCUACAACCAAAAGUCAUUAAAGGCAGUUAUCUCAAAUAUCAAAAAGUCCAGAAAUUGCUGAAUGGUGCAGUUGUCUUUAAACAUUCUACUUUUGAUUUUAUAUUGCAAGAGAACUGCUCAUUUAUUUCGUACGACAACAGCGUGCAAUGGAGCAGCCAACUUUUUGUGUUUCGUCUAAAAUUCAUUGGUCUAUGUAUAAACAAUCUUAAAGAUGUUAGUUAUGGAUGCAGGAACCUAGUCUCGGCUUCAUUCGAGGAUACAAGUAUUCCUUUCAGGGAAUGCUCUUGAAAAGAAGACAACGAAAAGCAAUGGUCAAUGAUAGUCAGCUGUUGCUUUGUGUACAUACAGGUUGAACUAUGUUUGUUAUUAGACCAACUCUACAGCUCCUGAACAAGUGAACAUCGAAGCAACAUUGGUGGAAACUUGUUUGAUAAACAACUAUCCACCACACACGAGCUCAUUGAAAAAUAGCUUCUAAAAACUAACAAUUUAUUUAAAAAAAAACAAAAAAAAAAACGGAUCCUUUAAUUCAUGAUGAU